Bos grunniens (domestic yak) is the source of this 3059-nucleotide long non-coding RNA. The record is from Ensembl. NCBI's taxonomy places the organism in Eukaryota, Metazoa, Chordata, Mammalia, Artiodactyla, Bovidae.
AGGCGUUGUGCCAGGGUGAUGACCAGUAUGGCCCUGAGGCUCAACCUCUGUCUCCUGCAAACAAGGAACACAAGCCCAUCAGGUGAUGAAGCCAUGUGCUGGGAACACGCAAGACACAGCAGGAGGGUUUCUUAUAAACACCACAAUGUGUUCACGACUAAAUCUAUUUUAAACACUCAGAAUUUUCUGCUGGAAGCGGUGCGAACAGGAACCAGGAAGUGAGCCAUGUGCCCAGCAUCUCACCUGAUCCCUGCAGAUAUAUAGAGGCUCCUGGCCCGGAGGCCCCACACUGAGCACCUUCUCUCUCCACCUGCUCCUCUAACCUACUCCACCCUCAAUCCACCAGAACCAUGGGCUGCUGUGGCUGUUCCGGAGGCUGCGGCUCCAGCUGUGGGGCUGUGGCUCCAGCUGUGGAGGCUGCGGUUCCAGCUGUGGGGCCUGCGGCUCCAGCUGUGGGGCUGUGGCUCCAGCUGUGGGGCUGCGGCUCCAGCUGCUGUGUGCCCGUCUGCUGCUGCAAGCCGUAUGCUGCUGUGUGCCAGCCUGCUCCUGCUCCAGCUGUGGCAAGGGGGGCUGUGGCUCGUGUGGAGGCUCCAAGGGGGGCUGUGGCUCCUGUGGCUGCUCCCAGUCGAGCUGCUGUGUCCCCGUUUGCUGUUCCCAGUCCAGCUGCUGCAAACCCUGCUGCUCCCAGUCCAGCUGCUGCAAAUCCUGCUGCUCCCAGUCCAGCUGCUGCAAACCCUGCUGCUCCCAGUCCAGCUGCUGUGUGCCCGCCUGUUGCUGCAAGCCCGUGCUGCUGUGUGCCAGCCUGCUCCUGCUCCAGCUGUGGCAAAGGGGCUGCGGCUCCUGUGGGGCUCCAAGGGGCUGUGGCUCCUGUGUCUGUUCCCAGUCCAGCUGCUGUGGCCCUGUUUGCUGCUCCCAGUCCAGCUGCUGCAAACCCAGCUGCUCCCAGUCCAGCUGCUGUGUCCCCAUUUGCUGCCAGUGCAAGAUUUGAAGCUGUGACCUUGAACCCCUACAAGGGACUCCAAUCUGAGCUGCCAUGGCUGUGACCAGUGAGACACCGGUAUCCUCAGAAUGCAGAGCCUUGUGCAUCUUCAUCAGGAAAGGCACUCCCGAGACUCUGGAUCCUGAGGGCACUGCAGGCCACCUCGUGCUCCCGCCCCAUCUUGGAGCCCCUCCCCAACUUGUCAUUCUCACCUCUGCUCUUGUAUCUGCCACUUAUCUGGGUCUGAGCCAGAAACACCCCCACUUUCCUCACUGGCUCCAAGGACCAACUAGUGCUGUUGCUGCCAGAGACCUGCCCACCUCCCCAUCACCUCUCUUCACCUGAGUUGUGUGGGUUCAGGACUCCCAGGAGGCGCUAAUGCUCCCCAUCCUGGGAUUGCCCAGGACCCCAGCCCAUCUCCCUCCUCCCUGGACCUUGCUCUCCAGCACCUGCUCUCUGCUGCAGACCCCAAAGAACCCCUAAAUAAACACAUUCUCCAACACCAGCUGGGGCUCACUGUGGCUCUUUUUACUCGCUCUGUAGAUGAAACACCGUAGAAACACCAGUGGCGUGAAAACUGGUGAAGCUUCGUGACAUUUACAAAUGUUGAAGCAAAUUUCCUUUGAGAGAUGUGUUUUCUCAGAAUGUGUCCUAAGGGACAAUUCCUGGUUAUUCCCAGAAUCACACGAUAAGGCUACGAGUCAGAUUAUCAUUCACAGAAGCGAGAACUCGGGUGGUGUCUGUAAGUACAGCGAGUGUGACCCAGUGGUUAAGUUUCCCAUCCCCAGGCGGGCACCAGGCCGAGGGCACAGACACCUGUGCACCCUGGCCACCUGAAACGAUGGCUAUGGGGUCAGGAGGGACGUGGCCUUCUCUCAGCUCUGCGCCUCGGGCCUUAGCAACGCUUCUCUUUCAUUGCUUGGCUGGUGCUCUGUUCUGCUCUGACGCAGUUGGGACCAGCCUCUUAUGAGAUAAGAUAAGCCUCUGAGCUUAUCUCAUGAGCCUUUUAAACUACACAUUUAUUUUGUUGUUGCUCAGCCACUAAGUCAUGUCCGAGUCUUUGUGACCCCAUGAACUGCAGCACGGCAGGGUUCCCUGUCCUUCACUAUCUCCCAGAGCUUGCUCAAACUCACAUCCAUUGAGUCAGAGAUGCCAUCCAACCAUCUCAUCCUCUGUCGCCCCUUCUGCUCCUGCCCUCAAUCUUUGCCAGCAUCAGGUUUUUUCCAAAGAGUCAGCUCCUCAUAUCAGGUGGCCAAAGUAUUGGAGCUUCAACUUCAGCAUCAGUCCUUCCAAUGAAUAUUCAAGGUUGAUUUCCUUUAGGAUUGACUGGUUUGAUCUCCUUGCAGUCCAAGGGACUCUUAGGAGUCUCCUCCAAUACCACAGUUUGAAAGAAUCAAUUCUUCAGUGCUCAGCCUUCUUUAUGGUCCAGCUCUCACAUCCAUACAUGACUGCUGGAAAACCAUAGCCUUGACUAUAUGGACCUUUGUUGGCAAAGUAAUGUCUCUGCUUUUUAAUAUGCUGUCUAGGGUUUUCAUAGCUUUUCUUCCAAGGAGCAAGUGUCUUUUAAUUUCACAUCUUGUUGAUUCAAAGAUAUGGUUUAAAAUAACACAUAAAUGAUGAAAGAAAUGACCCAGAUCUUCUAAAUAAUUCCUAAAGGGAGGCAUUCUAGACAUCGGAACUCAUGGCCUCUCAGAAGAGAAACACCUCUGGUUCUCAGAGGCUGCCAGCCCUCACUGGCUCCAUGUGCACGUCCACAGCACCUGCUGGGCACCAGGCCCUGUUCUGACUCAGGAAAUGGCAGCAAACAGCGUAAAGAGCCUGCUGUCGAGAUCUUGGCUGUCCAGUCGCAGAAGCAGACAGAAAGAGCGUGAUCAGCCUGCGGGCUAUGCUGGGCGCUGAGAUGGCGCCGUGGAAAUGGGAGGGAAGGCUGGCAGGGCGAGCACCACGCCGCAGAGCCCAGACACCACACGGAGGACCUGCGGGCACCUGGGGACACAGACCUGGCUGGCAGCCCUCCUCGCCUCAGACUAGAGCAGUGGUGCCUCCCACGGCCGGCAGGAGACAGGAAGGUUCUGGUUUA